GGGCCACCUCCUAGAACCCAGCAGAAGAGCUGGAGGAGCAGAGGCCAGUCAGCCAGGUCCAUGUCCCAGGGCUGACCGGGAGGAGGCCAGUCCCCUGCACUUGGCUGAGGACAAGGAAGUGGGGGAGCAGAGGAGUCUGGCCCCCAGUCUCUGCUCUGCAGCGGGGGCCUGUGUGGACAACGGGGGACAGACGAGGAGGUCCUCCUGUGGCUUGUCCCAGCCUCUGCGGCGGGAGGCGCUUUCCAGCAGGGGAAGGGCAGUGGGGCCAGCGGCACCACCCUGGCCUGGGCAGGGUGUCCUCCAGGGCUUCCCCCAACACUCGUCCAGAGGUCUGCCAAAGGGGAGGUCCACUGACCUCUGAGUCUUCUCCCAGUGAUGGGAGGGGACAUCCCCAGGGGAGUCCUAGUAGGGUCCUAGCAAGGGUCCAUACGCCCAGGGGAGGCCCAAUCACAGGUGGACACUUGGUGCUGGCAGAGGAGAGGAGAUGUGGAAUGCGAGGCCCUUGUUCAGCCAGAAGCCAGGAUGGUCGGCGGUGAGGACGUGCCCAGCAGGGUCCGCGAUGCCCUCUCACGGCCUGCCCAGCCUGUGGUCUGCGCCAGUAGCCAGCGGAGGAACGUCAAGAGCUCCGUCUGCCUGCUGGAGAGACAGUCCCCACGGGGCCCUCCUCCCACCAGCUGAGGGCAAAGGCACGCCCUGGGGACCAGGAAGGGGGUGGCUCUUGGUCACAGGGGAGCCGAGCCUGGAGCCUCCCUGUGGGAUCCCCCGCAGCUGAGCAUGGCUCCAGGGUCCCUGGCCCUGUCUGUGGCCUCCCACUCAUUAGCUGGGCUGCCCCAAGCCACAGCUGGGCAGGCACUUGGGGGGGAGGGUCCUGCAGUGCUGGACGCGUGCCCACAGGCACCCCCUGCUCAGAGAUUAAUCUGGUGUCACCCGUGUCCAGAUGGAGUCGGAGAGCUCUGUCACCUUACCCUCCCUCCUGGAGGGCUUCCCUCCCCCGACAGGCUCAGCCACGGGGUCUCCCCGCCGUGUCCGGGAGCGAGCAGCGCCAAGGCUCCAGAGGUGGCCCCUGUGACCAUGGCUGCGCAGGUGAGUCCAAUGUGAAGUGAGGGUCAACGCGGCACAAUGCGUCUCAGGGUCUGUUCCCUGUAACUACAGAAAAUGGCUUAAUGUAGAAUUCUCAUGAGGGAAACCUCGCUUUUAAGUCAUCACCUAAGGACUCCUCACACCCUGGUCCCCACUUUCUUUUUCUGAAAUAAAUUUUCCAACAAACCAAACUGUCCUCGUACAGUCUCCCUGUUUUCUGGAAACCGGCUUCUCCCUGGAAACCUCCGCUCCCCUGACUUGGAGACGCCCGCCUGCGAUUUAACCCGGGUCGGCUUGACGCACUUUGAAAAUCCCGUCUGCGGGUCGUGAGUCGGGUUCCAGCAGGCCAGGCGUGUCCUGUGCUUGGGGACGACCAGGGAGCCUGGCCGGUCCCCUGGUGCCCCCACGGCUGGCCUCCUGUGGAGCAGCAGGCUGGCAGCCCCGCCCCCAGAGCCCCUCUGCUGCACCACACCAGCUGAGGAACCCGCUUCUGAAAGUGUGUCCCCCAGGAAACGAGGACCCGCCAGGCCAGGGUCACAGCCACCCUUCUCUGCUGAGAUGCAGUGACCGAGGCUUCUCUGUGACCUUGUUGCCUCCUCCUGCUGCCUGGGUGAUGCCUACGGGGCCCCUCAGCAUGCUCACGACUCACCUCUGCAUCCUCCAUCUGCACGUGGAACAUGAAGGAGGGGCCCCUCCAGCUCACCACUUCCCACUGCUCCCAGCCGGAAGCCAGCCUUCCACCAUGACUGAGGCCCAUUCCAGACCCACACCCGGCACCAAGAGACGAGGCUGUGACCGCGGAGCGUGGCGGCUGCCGCUUUCCUUGGCUCCACCUCCCGUUCUCCAUGCCCUGGGCCACGGUCCUCUCCUUCUCUGACUGGGCCUGGUGUCUGGCUCCCUCCUAAGGCUCCUGGUGACAGCACUGGACUCACCUGGAUGAUCCAGGGUCACCUUCUCAUCUCGAGAUCCAACACAAUCCAUUGGCCAAGCCUCCUUUGCCACAUGAGGUGACACAAUCACACAUACUAGGGACGAGGACUGGACAUCAUGGUGGGGGCAAUGACUCUGCCUCUGGGACUGCAGACAGACGGCUUGACAGUGCACACAGCAAGACACCUGCGGGACGCCCUCUCCUUCCCAAAUUGCCCUCCGUGGCAGCCUAAGAGGGAACUGUGCACACUAACACCAGGGAGCGCCUGCUGGGCCAGCCCUUCUCGAGGUCAGCGUAAUGGCCCGAGGACCUGCGGGCACCUUGUCUGUGCUAUGACAUCAAGGUCACUGUGGUUGGGAACACUGGUGACAUCAUCAUGCUCAAGGUCACUGGUCCAUGUGCUGCUAGAAUUGAGGCUCCCAGGUUCCCCGGGGGACAGCAGUCCUGAAAGUCACGGUUUUGCUUUCGGAUUUUAAAGCUCCCCCCUGCUAAGGCAUGUGCUCAUGGACCAUGUAGAGCUCUCUGUGUCCAGCCAUCUCCACGAUGUCGAAUGGGACAUUCCCGCCUCACUAAUUUGGGAAGAUUAAAUGAAGCACGGCUGCAGGCCCCUUACUUCCUGAGCAGGGGCUGGCAGACGCCGGCUCCUUCCCUUCCUGGCAGGCGCAGCCCCUGCAAGCCUGCCCCUCCGCCAGUGUCAGCAUGAGGCUGACAUGGUGAGGAAUAGUGUGUCCUCUCCACCUGCAGAUUUCUGUUUCUCCCAGCCCGGAAUAGCUCAAGUAGGCUGUGACCUCGGCAAGCACCCUUGAGAGAGUCUCGAGGCGCCUUGAGAAAUUGCGCAAGAGGCGCUCUGCAUCUGGGCUGGAUCUAUUAUUCAUGCACGCAUGUUUCAGCGAGCACGGUAAUUUAGAGUCUCUCAGAGUGCUCUCUGCAGCAGCUAUAAACCACCUUCCAUGCACUCUGGGAAAAAUCACCUUUCCCUCCCUGCAGCUGGGGGCAUGCCAGAGAAGUCGCCCAGAGAAGCAAGGGCCAAGGUGGGGCCAGGCAGUUCAGAGCUCUUCAGAGCCCUGCAGACCUCACAUCGGGGCCGCUGCAUCCCAGCCGCCUCCUGCAUGACCUCCAGAGUUCUGCUUUCUCAUUGUGAAAUGAGUCACGGCGCGAGACGCCUCACAGUCGGGCUUUCUGCAGGAGAAGCCCAGUCCAGCUCCCCCUCCAUGACCUACAGCAAGUAAUUUACUGCUCUCCAAAAUCAGCUCUGUGGGGCUAUGGACGCCUGCCUUCAGUGUUCCAGGAACCAGAACGCUGAGCACACACUGGGCACACGGAGGCAUGGAUCUUCUGCAUAUGCAUAUUCAUCUCCAUCUUCACAGCUCCCGCUUUAGAAAAAGGCUUAACUUUCAUGUCUACAGAGAAUACAAUAAAUACAGAGGCACAGAUUUUCCCAGGAAACAUCCCUGACAUGGAGCUUACACCACCCAUGCAUACUAAGGGGUGGAGAUGAACAUAAAGAAAAGGAAAGAAUGAAAUUAACAUCCACUUCAGAUGCUAGAGAUGCCAGGAGGAGAAGCUCCUCCAGGAUCUGGGAGGCCAGAGCUGGUUUCUGAUUUUGCUUUUUGCUGUGAUAAUGUGACAGGUCCAGAGUGGCUGCUUCCUUU
This is a non-coding RNA of Ictidomys tridecemlineatus (thirteen-lined ground squirrel), 3663 nucleotides long. The record is from RefSeq and is a predicted model, not a curated record. Lineage: Eukaryota; Metazoa; Chordata; Mammalia; Rodentia; Sciuridae.